Molecule: long non-coding RNA, 308 nt
Organism: Camelus dromedarius (Arabian camel)
Lineage: Eukaryota; Metazoa; Chordata; Mammalia; Artiodactyla; Camelidae
Exons: 2
Source: RefSeq, a predicted model, not a curated record
GAUCCCCCUCCUCUGCACCUUGUUUGAGAAGGAGGACUUCAUGGGAUUGGACACAGACAGCAGGUGCCCUCACCUCCAGUGACAUCCAUCCAGACACCAGCACUGACACUGGCCGUGCUCAGAACUGCCUCAGCCCUGAAGACACAACUGACAAAUAGAAGGGGGCCACGCCCUGUUACAGCAGGUGCUCUCACUUAGUGGGUCCUUAUGUAACUGUGCGGUGUUAAUCAGGAUCGCCCGUUCUACAUUACAUGACUCUGCUGCGGUGUCUCCUAGUUACUUGUUUCUGUAUGUACUCGUGUAUUUUC